This 245-nucleotide long non-coding RNA is filed under the name Capsicum annuum. Its description in RNAcentral is "long non-coding RNA (CANN_LNC017269)". The record is from RNAcentral. Lineage: Eukaryota; Viridiplantae; Streptophyta; Magnoliopsida; Solanales; Solanaceae.
GUUUUGGAAAGGUAGAUUACGAGCUUGUAUUGAUUUCAGACUUAGCUUUAGUGCACCCAAUGUUUUAUGUCUUCUAGCUAAAAAAUUGCAUAGGUGACCCAGCACUUGUGAUCCCUACAGAGGGUAAGGAUUUAUAAAACAACCUCUCUUAUGAAGAGAUCCCAGUUAAAAUUCUCGAUCAUCAGGUUCGCAGAAUGAGGAACAAAGAAGUUCAUUUGGUUAAGGUUCUUUGGCGGAAUCAGUCC